AUGUGUAUUCCAAAGAAGAAUGGAGGAAUGGGGUUCAAGGACUUGCAUGCUUUUAAUUUAGCUUUAGUGAAACAGAGUUGGAGGUUGAUCACUAAACCAAAUACUCUUUGUGCAAGUGUCCUUAAAGCAAAGUAUUACACAGAUGGCAAUUUACUAAAGGCAGGGCCUAAAAAGGGAUCAUCGUCUGCGUGGCAGAGUAUAAUUGCUGGCCUUCGUACCUUUAUGAGAGGUCACAUAUGGAGAGUUGGUUCUGGAGCAAGUAUUAAUAUUUGGGAGGACCAUUGGGUGCCUAGUAGUCCAAGCAGGAAGGUGAUAACUCCAAAGGGACACUGUUUGAUGCAAACAGUGGAUGAGUUGAUUGACCCAUAUACGGGACAAUGGGAUGAGCUGCUGGUUAGAGACAACUUUCUUAGUGUGGACGCAGAAAGAAUUUUACAGAUUCCCUUGAUCUCUAACAUGAAUUAUGAUUUCGUUGCAUGGCAGUUCACAAAAUCGUAUAUGUUUUCUGUUCGCUCAGCAUACUAUGUUGACUGGGAACACCAGUACGGUGCACGAACUAGAAGAAGUGAUGGGCAAGGAUCAAUGAAUAUUAAUCCUGUUUGGGACAUUUUGUGGAGACUCCAACUACCAAGUAAGGUAAAAAUCUUUGCCUGGCAUGCUUUGCAUGGGAUUGUCCCUGGUAUGGCAGUACUAGCAUAUCGACAUAUUAAGGUUCAACCGCAAUGUCCUGUGUGUAAGCAAGGAGCAGAAGGUAUGCGCCAUUUGAUGUUCACAUGUAGAAGGGCAAAACAAGUGUGGACAGAACUGGGAAUGCAACCGUUAAUA
RNAcentral lists this ribosomal RNA (825 nucleotides) under Triticum aestivum (bread wheat). Its description in RNAcentral is "partial small subunit ribosomal RNA". Lineage: Eukaryota; Viridiplantae; Streptophyta; Magnoliopsida; Poales; Poaceae. The record is from RNAcentral.